Molecule: RNA transcript, 3420 nt
Organism: Quercus lobata
Lineage: Eukaryota; Viridiplantae; Streptophyta; Magnoliopsida; Fagales; Fagaceae
Gene name: putative 1-phosphatidylinositol-3-phosphate 5-kinase FAB1C
Exons: 9
Source: RefSeq, a predicted model, not a curated record
UACCAAACACACCUGAAUGAUUGGAAUUAUUGGGUAGGCAUCUUGAUCCUGUUCAUCCAACUGGUUCCAUGAACUGUAGGGUUGCAAAUGCAGCAUCUAGUGUGGGUUUGGAGUCAAGCACUUUAAAUCAGUGUGAGGACUUUAAAGGGCCCAGAGUGCUUCCUUCUGUUAUGAGAAAUCCUUCCCAACAAGAACCACAAGAAUCAAUAGCCCAAGAUGAGACGCUUGCUGGGGAGAUGAAUGGAUCUAUAAGAUCUGAAAGGGCUGAUGAAAAUGAAGUCUCUAGUGAAUACUUUUCAGCCACUGAAACUCACCAGAGUAUAUUGGUAUCAUUUUCAAGCCAUUGUGUGCUGAAAGGAAUUGUAUGUGAACGCUUUCGGUCCCUGCGCAUAAAGUUUUAUGGUUAUUUUGAUAAGCCUCUAGGGAGAUAUCUGCGUGAUGACUUGUUUGACCAGACAUGUUGCUGUCGAUCAUGUAAAGUGCCAGUUCAGGCCCAUGUCCUAUGUUACACCCAUCGACAGGGAAAGUUAACAAUCAAUGUUAGAUGCCUUCCGGAUAUAAGACUACCUGGGGAACGGGAUGGUAAGAUCUGGAUGUGGCACCGAUGCCUAAGGUGUGCCCAUGUGAAUAGAGUUCCACCAGCUACUCGUAGAGUGGUUAUGUCAGAUGCUGCCUGGGGACUUUCUUUUGGAAAGUUCUUGGAACUUAGCUUUUCAAACCAUGCAACUGCUAAUCUUGUUGCACCCUGUGGUCAUUCAUUGCGAAGGGACUGUCUCCGUUACUAUGGGUUUGGGAGCAUGGUUGCAUUUUUCCGGUAUUCCCCUAUCGAUAUUCUUUCUGUUCAUUUGCCACCGUCAGUGCUUGAAUUCAAUGGCCAUGUUCAAUAUGAAUGGACAAGAAAAGAGGCUGCAGAGCUUGUCCGUAAAAUGGAGACCUUGUAUGCCGAGAUAUCUGAUGUACUUGAUAGCUUGGAAGAAAAAUGUAAGGCUUUUGGUAAUGAAUGUUCGGACACGAAUGACUUACAGGGCCACAUCAUGGAGCUGAAAGACUUGCUUAAAAAGGAAAGAAAUGAUUACAAUGGUUUGCUUCGACCGGCUAUUAUGGAGACUUCACAGCCAGACUGGCUGUCUGGAGACAUUCUGGAAUUGAAUCGCUUGAGACGCUCUCUUUUAGUUGGUUCACAUGUUUGGGAUCAGCGGCUUUGUUCAUUGGACUCUCUACUUAAAAAGAGUUCUAUUUCAAAGGCUGCACAAGGGGAUGCAUCUUAUGCCCAGCUGAAAGAGCUGAAGAGUGAGUUAUCACACAAGGAUGGCAUGCUUGGCAGUGGGCAUGAAGAUUCUGACGCUUCAAAAUUACAUGAGUCUCUUGGCAACAAUUUGCAGUCAGAGCAGGAGCAGCCUAAUGUACCAGCCUUUGAACCUUCUGUUGCUGUAGACUCGAUGUUAACCACAUGUCAUCAUCAUGUCAGAGAGGAGGAAAAACAUUCAGAUGGGGAAGUUAGUGUAAAUAAGACACUAAGUGAAAGCUUAUCGCCCAAUGAGUCUACUAUAUCUGAGAGAAUAGAUUCUGCUUGGACUGGUACUAAUCAACCUGCAAUGAAAGCUCAACUUCAUUCAUCACAUGCAGAUGAACUCCAAGCUGGAUCUGUCAGGCAGAUUAGUCAAAAUGGUAAACCUCCUUUUAGAAGGUUAAUGUCACGAAUGAGAGUUCGUGCUUUUGAUUCUGCAUUACGAGUCCAAGAAAGAAUCCGGAAGGGAUUGCCUCCCUCUUCCUUGCGUUUGUCGAUACUUAGAUCUUCCCAUGCCUCUGGAUAUUACAGGAGUAUGGUGAGAGAUCCUGUUUCCAAUAUAAUGAGGACUUACUCCCAAAUGCUGCCAUGGAAGACACGGAAGUUAAACUUAAAUGUCAGUUCCACACCAUCACUUAUCUCCUCCGCAUCUCAUAUGGCUGAAGGUGCUCGGCUGCUGCUUACGCAAACUGGCCACAGUGAUUUAGUUAUUGCCGUUUAUGAAAAUGAACCCACUAGUAUAAUCUCGUAUGCCCUUAGAUCCAAGGAGUAUAAUGAUUGGGUUGCUGAUAAGUUGAAUGAGCAUGAGGGAAGCUGGAGUCUCCAUGAGAGCACUAAAGAAGAUUCUGCAGUUUCCACCUUUUCUGCCUGGCAGUCUUUUAGGUCUUUGGAGUUUGAUUAUAUUCAUUAUGGUAGUUAUGGAUCUGAAGUUGCUUCAUCAUCAAUGGGUACGUUUUUUAAAGAUCCCAAAAGACCUCCACAUUUAAAAAUAUUUUUUGAGGAUGAGUUUUCAACUGCCGGAGGCAAAGUAAAGUUUUCAGUCACUUGUUAUUUUGCCAAGCAAUUUAACUCUCUAAGAAAAAAAUGCUGCCCUAGUGAAGUGGAUUUUGUGCGAUCCUUGAGCCGCUGCCGGACAUGGAGUGCACAAGGGGGGAAAAGCAAUGUAUAUUUUGCCAAGUCAUUGGAUGAAAGAUUCAUUAUAAAACAGGUUACAAAAACAGAGUUGGAUUCCUUUGCGGAUUUUGCACCUAAAUAUUUUAAACAUUUGACAGAAUCUAUUAGCUCGAGAAGCCAAACUUGCCUUGCAAAAAUUCUUGGCAUUUAUCAGGUCUCUGUAAAACAUCUAAAAGGUGGUAAGAAAACAAAAAUGGAUUUGAUGGUGAUGGAGAACCUCUUUUUCAAGAGAGAUAUCUCAAGGGUUUAUGAUCUCAAGGGCUCUACACGAGCUCGUUAUAAUUCAGACACAACAGGGACAAACAAAGUUCUGCUAGAUAUGAAUUUGUUGGAAACAUUACGAACAAAACCUAUAUUUGUUGGAAGCAAGGCAAAGAGAAUUCUAGAAAGAGCUGUCUGGAAUGAUACAUCGUUUUUGGCGUCUGUGGAUGUUAUGGACUAUUCCCUGCUGGUUGGGGUGGACGACGAACGCAAAGAGCUGGUUUUAGGGAUCAUUGAUUUCAUGAGACAGUAUACCUGGGACAAACAUUUGGAGACAUGGGUGAAGGCAUCUGGGAUACUUGGUGGUCCAAAAAAUGCUUCCCCCACCAUUAUUUCUCCCAAACAAUACAAGAAAAGAUUCCGGAAGGCGAUGACUACCUAUUUUCUCACUGUACCUGAUCAAUGGUCUUCAUGAACUGCUUCAUCGCAAUUUUUUUGUUUAAACUCCAAAAUGCAUCUGUUUUCAAUAAAGAAUAGGGGAGGAUUGUAAUUGCAGAUAAAUGGAGACCCCGUGAGGAGGAUGGAUCAACUUGGAGGUAUCUCUAUUGAUAGACUUUUGGGCAAAUUUCUUUAAAAAGGGCUUCUUGGGAGUUUCUUGUUUCAAGUGAGGGCAUGCAACAAGGUUUCUUUCAUUGGGCCUCUCAGGGGAUUGGGGCAUGUUUGCUUAUGCUAUAAUAGAUUGAGUUAUAUAAAAUCUA